AGCGAACGCUGGCGGCAGGCUUAACACAUGCAAGUCGAGCGGGCACUUCGGUGUCAGCGGCAGACGGGUGAGUAACACGUGGGAACGUACCCUUUGGUUCGGAAUAACGCUGGGAAACUAGCGCUAAUACCGGAUACGCCCUUUUGGGGAAAGGCUUGCUGCCGAAGGAUCGGCCCUAGUCUGAUUAGCUAGUUGGUGGGGUAAUGGCCUACCACGGCGACGAUCAGUAGCUGGUCUGAGAGGAUGAUCAGCGACACUGGGACUGAGACGCGGCCCAGACUCCUACGCGAGGCAGCAGUGGGGAAUAUUGGAAAACGGGGGCAAGCCUGAUGCAGCCAGGCCGGGUGAGUGAUGAAGGUCUUAGGGUUGUAAAGUGCUUUUGUCCGGGACGAUAAUGACGGUACCGGAAGAAUAAGCCCCGGCUAACUUCGUG
RNAcentral lists this ribosomal RNA (433 nucleotides) under uncultured bacterium. Its description in RNAcentral is "partial 16S ribosomal RNA". It matches the Rfam family "Bacterial small subunit ribosomal RNA", at positions 29 to 507 of the family's 1533-position model. The record is from RNAcentral.